GACGUAGGGCGCGAGCGUUGUCCGGAUUUAUUGGGCGUAAAGAGCUCGUAGGCGGCUUGUUGCGUCGACUGUGAAAACCCGCGGCUUAACCGCGGGCCUGCAGUUGAUACGGGCAGGCUAGAGUUCGGUAGGGGAGACUGGAAUUCCUGGUGUAGCGGUGAAAUGCGCAGAUAUCAGGAGGAACACCUGAGGUGAAGACGGGUUGCUGGGCCGACACUGACGCUGAGUGCGCGAAAGCCAGGGGAGCAAACGGG
This 254-nucleotide ribosomal RNA is filed under the name uncultured bacterium. RNAcentral describes it as "partial 16S ribosomal RNA". It matches the Rfam family "Bacterial small subunit ribosomal RNA", at positions 524 to 776 of the family's 1533-position model. The record is from RNAcentral.